CAGUAGCCGCGGUAAUACAGAGGGUGCGAGCGUUAAUCGGAUUUACUGGGCGUAAAGCGUGCGUAGGCGGCUAAUUGAGUCGGAUGUGAAAUCCCCGAGCUUAACUUGGGAAUUGCAUUCGAUACUGGUUAGCUAGAGUGUGGGAGAGGAUGGUAGAAUUCCAGGUGUAGCGGUGAAAUGCGUAGAGAUCUGGAGGAAUACCGAUGGCGAAGGCAGCCAUCUGGCCUAACACUGACGCUGAGGUACGAAAGCAUGGGGAGCAAACAGGAUUAGAUACCCGCGUAGUUCCUGUCUCUUAUAC
Molecule: ribosomal RNA, 301 nt
Filed under: uncultured bacterium
Lineage: Bacteria
Description: partial 16S ribosomal RNA
Rfam family: Bacterial small subunit ribosomal RNA
Source: RNAcentral